GAUUCUUGGUCAUUUAGAGGAAGUAAAAGUCGUAACAAGGUUUCCGUAGGUGAACCUGCGGAAGGAUCAUUAUUGAAACUCACGGGGGCGCGUGCUAAGACCUGCACCGGUGGCGACGCCGUGCUGCGGUCUGGCUUGCGUCCUCUUCCAAACCCAAACACCUGUGAACCUUUGGGAUGGCGUGCUGUAACGGCCGUCGUCCCGUUUACACCAACUCUGAUGUCUAUUUGAAUGUGACUCGGGGCCUCCCCGAUUUAAACUUAAAACAACUUUCAACAACGGAUCUCUUGGCUCUCGCAUCGAUGAAGAACGCAGCGAAAUGCGAUAAGUAAUGUGAAUUGCAGAAUUCAGUGAAUCAUCGAAUCUUUGAACGCACCUUGCGCUCCUUGGUAUUCCGAGGAGCAUGCCUGUUUGAGUGUCUUGAAAUCAUCAAACCCCUCUGGUUUCUGCUGGAGCGGGUUUGGACUUGGGGGUUUUGCUGCCUCUGGCGGCUCCCCUUAAAUGAAUCGGUCGGGCUUUCGUGUGGCUUGUCCCUUGGCGUUGUAUCAACCUCGUCGCUGGAUGGCUCGCGAGCUUUAGCGCCCCUCCAAGACCAGCCUCUGGAGUGGCGGUCAGCUUCAAUUUGUGAUCUGACCUCAAAUCAGGUAGGACUACCCGCUGAACUUAAGCAUAUCAAUAAGCG
Molecule: ribosomal RNA, 682 nt
Filed under: uncultured fungus
Lineage: Eukaryota; Fungi
Description: eukaryotic LSU rRNA
Rfam family: 5.8S ribosomal RNA (bases 268-421)
Source: RNAcentral